This is a long non-coding RNA of Oncorhynchus gorbuscha (pink salmon), 859 nucleotides long. RefSeq lists it as uncharacterized. NCBI's taxonomy places the organism in Eukaryota, Metazoa, Chordata, Actinopteri, Salmoniformes, Salmonidae. The transcript is spliced from 3 exons. The record is from RefSeq and is a predicted model, not a curated record.
GGCUCUGAGAACAUCCUCCAACAGGCCGUGUCGACUCAGGACUCUUCAUUUGAUAGGAUUCUUGUCAAGUCUUUGAGUGAAGCGCUUCUCCACAGAUGUAAUGAGGCAUUGAGGGCAGCCUCAAGAACAUCAGUCAAAACCACCGGGCCUUAGGCUCUUCCACUGGCUGAGGAUGUGAGGGCUAGCAGGGGGAAAUUAUCUUUUCUACAAAGGCUGGUCAGGCUGACAGGCAACUUAAAGCUAUUCAAGAAGGGGAACGAGAAGGAUUCCCACUGCUCUGAAUCAGAACAAGUACAGACCACUGCUGAAGAUGGCAUGCUGCCCAGCAUAGUGCCACAUGCUGCCAUGUCUGCACUGCCAAAGGAUCUCCCCGCCAGCUCCCAACAGGAGACGCCUCACAAACGUCCACUUCUCGUCAGGAUGUUUUCUGCCAUCUCCAAAGGCCUGUUCAAGCCCUUCAAACAGUCCUUAAAGACCAAGUAACUCAAGACAAUUUAUUAAACGUCAUUCAUUGCAUUAAAUUGGCCUUUGUCUUGUUAUGUGCUCCUGUUAACAGACCAGAUUACAAUACUGGUCUUUUAAAUGUUAGCAGUGAUAGCAACAUUAACUAUAGUGGUGUGUAUAGCCCUUCUACACAGUCUGACUCUUCUGACACUGUGUGACAUGCCCUCUGAUCCAGUGAUCUAGGAUCUUCUGAGUGGCUUUAGGCCUGAAUCUCUGCCCUCCUGCCCAAAUAAAUGUUUUCUCUUCUGAUAUAUCUGCCACUGUCAGCAGCCAGCAGGGGGAAACAUUUCUCCCUCAUAACUAAAACACUGAGAAAGGCUUUUAUCAAUUGCAGCAUAUUCCAUCUUUUGAUUUA